This 96-nucleotide transfer RNA is filed under the name Phycisphaerales bacterium. Its description in RNAcentral is "tRNA-Sec". It matches the Rfam family "Selenocysteine transfer RNA". Lineage: Bacteria; Pseudomonadati; Planctomycetota; Phycisphaerae; Phycisphaerales. The record is from RNAcentral.
GGGAGUGUCCGGACGCCUGGUGGGUCCCGCGGCCUUCAAAGCCGUUGAAGCGCCGUACCAACGGCGCUUGGUGGGUUCGAUUCCCAUCCGCUCCCG